Molecule: ribosomal RNA, 168 nt
Filed under: uncultured rumen bacterium
Lineage: Bacteria
Description: partial 16S ribosomal RNA
Rfam family: Bacterial small subunit ribosomal RNA
Source: RNAcentral
UACGGGAGGCAGCAGUGGGGGAUAUUGCGCAAUGGAGGCAACCCUGACGCAGCAACGCCGCGUGAAGGAUGAAGGUUUUCGGAUUGUAAACUUCUUUUAUCAGGGACGAAAAUUGACGGUACCUGAUGAAUAAGCUCCGGCUAACUACGUGCCAGCAGCCGCGGUAAU